UUAACGAUCCACUUUCUCUCUUCCAUUCUGAGAAGGCGGUGCAGGAGCUUCUUCAACAGACUCCAGUCCAGGGAACUGAUGACCAACACGUAGAGUUCUCAGAGGCACUAAGAACUGUUGCAAAGGCAUUAAGACGAGCUGCUGAGGGAAAAGCUUCUGCUCAAACUGAGGCUGCUGAAUGGAAGCGUAGAUAUGAACUGGAGAGGCAACGAAACCAGCGGCUGCAGCGUAAAGAAUAUUCACCUGAGAAGCACAAUGAUGACUUUGAUGAAAAGAGGACAGAGAACUCAACCAACCAUUCUGUGCUGAGUAAUCAAACAACCAAGCAAUCUGAAAAUUGUUGUACCAAUGGGAUUUGCUCUCAUGAAAUUCUUCAAGAUG
This 381-nucleotide unclassified non-coding RNA is filed under the name Hevea brasiliensis (rubber tree). Lineage: Eukaryota; Viridiplantae; Streptophyta; Magnoliopsida; Malpighiales; Euphorbiaceae. The record is from RNAcentral.